RNAcentral lists this ribosomal RNA (410 nucleotides) under Verrucomicrobiota bacterium. RNAcentral describes it as "Verrucomicrobia bacterium partial 16S ribosomal RNA". It matches the Rfam family "Bacterial small subunit ribosomal RNA", at positions 355 to 776 of the family's 1533-position model. The record is from RNAcentral. Lineage: Bacteria; Pseudomonadati; Verrucomicrobiota.
UGGGGAAUCUUGCACAAUAGGCGAAAGCCUGAUGCAGCGACGCCGCGUGCGGGAUGAAGGCCUUCGGGUUGUAAACCGCUUUCAGCAGGGACGAGGCCGCAAGGUGACGGUACCUGCAGAAGAAGCCCCGGCUAACUACGUGCCAGCAGCCGCGGUAAUACGUAGGGGGCAAGCGUUAUCCGGAUUCAUUGGGCGUAAAGCGCGCGUAGGCGGUUUGUUAGGUCAGGAGUUAAAUCUGGGGGCUCAACCCCUAUCCGCUCCUGAUACCGGCAGGCUUGAGUCUGGUAGGGGAAGGCGGAAUUCCAAGUGUAGCGGUGAAAUGCGCAGAUAUUUGGAAGAACACCGGUGGCGAAGGCGGCCUUCUGGGCCACGACUGACGCUGAGGCGCGAAAGCUAGGGGAGCGAACAGG